AGUGAACGCUGGCGGUAGGCCUAACACAUGCAAGUCGAACGGCAGCACAGUAAGAGCUUGCUCUUACGGGUGGCGAGUGGCGGACGGGUGAGGAAUACAUCGGAAUCUACUUUUUCGUGGGGGAUAACGUAGGGAAACUUACGCUAAUACCGCAUACGACCUACGGGUGAAAGCAGGGGAUCUUCGGACCUUGCGCGAUUGAAUGAGCCGAUGUCGGAUUAGCUAGUUGGCGGGGUAAAGGCCCACCAAGGCGACGAUCCGUAGCUGGUCUGAGAGGAUGAUCAGCCACACUGGAACUGAGACACGGUCCAGACUCCUACGGGAGGCAGCAGUGGGGAAUCUUGGACAAUGGGCGCAAGCCUGAUCCAGCCAUACCGCGUGGGUGAAGAAGGCCUUCGGGUUGUAAAGCCCUUUUGUUGGGAAAGAAAAGCAGCAGGUUGAUACCCCGCUGUUCUGACGGUACCCAAAGAAUAAGCACCGGCUAACUUCGUG
This 492-nucleotide ribosomal RNA is filed under the name uncultured bacterium. RNAcentral's name for it is "partial 16S ribosomal RNA". It matches the Rfam family "Bacterial small subunit ribosomal RNA", at positions 29 to 507 of the family's 1533-position model. The record is from RNAcentral.